This 201-nucleotide long non-coding RNA is filed under the name Capra hircus (goat). RNAcentral's name for it is "lncRNA (ENSCHIG00000001683.1)". The record is from RNAcentral. Lineage: Eukaryota; Metazoa; Chordata; Mammalia; Artiodactyla; Bovidae.
UAAUGAAAGUUCCAUUCACUUGUUCAUUCUACAGAUAUAAGUGGAGCACCUGUUAUGAGCCCAGCAGCACAAGGGUAACCAGGAGAGUUCCCGUCCAGAAGUUACUGAUACCGCAGGAAGGAGCUGACGGUGGAGAGGAGGAACAGAGAGGAGUGUGGGCUGCGGGAUGCACGCGCGCGCGCGCGCGCGCGCGCACACACA